AGCAGCCGCGGUAAUUCCAGCUCCAAUAGCGUAUAUUAAAGUUGUUGCAGUUAAAAAGCUCGUAGUUGAAUUUCGGGGUUAGUAGGUUGGUCAUGCCACUGGUAUGUACUGGUCUCACUGAUUCCUCCUUCCUGAUGAACCGUAAUGCCAUUAAUUUGGUGUUGCGGGGAAACUGGACUGUUACUUUGAAAAAAAUUGAGUGUUUAAAGCAGGCUAACGCUUGAAUACAUUAGCAUGGAAUAAUGAAAUGGACGUUCGAUCCUAUUUUGUGGUUUCUAGGAUUUGACGUAAUGAUUAAUAGGGAUAGUUGGGGGCAUUAGUAUUCAAUUGUCAGAGGUGAAAUUCUUGGAUUUAUUGGAAGACUAACUACUGCGAAAGCAUUUGCCAAGGAUGUUUCAUUAAUCAAGAACGAAGUAGGGAUCGAAGCGAUCAGAUACCGUCGUAGUCUUAACCAUUAAACCUAUACGCCGACUAGGGGAAUCGGGAUGGAUUGUUAAUUUUUUAANGUACUCAUUCGGCG
This 520-nucleotide ribosomal RNA is filed under the name uncultured Glomus. RNAcentral describes it as "SSU rRNA". It matches the Rfam family "Eukaryotic small subunit ribosomal RNA", at positions 569 to 1079 of the family's 1831-position model. Lineage: Eukaryota; Fungi; Glomeromycota; Glomeromycetes; Glomerales; Glomeraceae. The record is from RNAcentral.